GCAGCCGCUGCCGCCGCAGCGAAGAGGCCAUGUUGUGUGGUGUGUGGGGCGGGGGGAGGAGGAGGAGGGAGUAAAGCCUAGAGAGGAGACGGGAGAGAGACACCACACACACGGCACAAGAUGGCCGGAGAGGCAGCAGCACCCCGAGCUGUCAGGCGUUCCGCCGCGGCCGCGAGGCCCGCCGGCCGGCGGGGAGCUACGCCCGGACGGCCAGCAGGCCCGCGGGAGUGGGGCUGCCGCGGCUGAGGCGAGGCGGGCCGCGCGCGUCGGCGUCACAGCCCGCGGCAGAGGCGCCCAGGGCGGCCGGGCCCACGACGCCGAAAGCGCCGCUGCGGUUGCCGCCUCGGAGGCUCCCCCGGGCCCCGGCGGCUGGACCCGGCGCGGGCGGGAGGCUCGGGCGGGCGGUCCGGCCCGGGACUCGGGUUUGGGCGACCAGGAGGUGCCGGUGGCCGCGCUCGGACCCGGUGACUUAAGAGAUUAAAAUUAAUUUGGUUGCUGUUGGUUCUGAACAAAUAAUGAGUUCUUUUAUUUGAGGUAUGCCAUUUUGAAGACUGAGACGUUGGAGUUUUAUCCUAGAGGAUAAAGGAAAUCUUUGGGAAAGUCAGUAUUUUAUAUAGCAAAAAUAUGAACCUCAAACUGAAUCCUCUAAAGGCCCCAUACAAUGAAGUAGACAUUGGUGGAAACAUUUAGUAAGUAUUAUUCAAUUUACAUGUUUAAUCUGUUUAGAAAUUUUAAAUACUACUUUGGAAAUUUUGAAAAUUCGAGUCAGAAUUGUAAAGAGGGAUUUAGUGAAACUCAACACAGUACAAGAAAAUCAACAUGGAAAUUUCGCUUAUUAAUUUACUCCAAUCUAUUAUUUUCUGCUUUCUUCACUUAGGCAAGUUAAAAUGCAAACAAACCCACAUUUGAACAUACCUCUAACACUAUUAUAAACAUGGAUGUUGCUAAAUGGUUCCUCUUUGUUUUUGUAAAUAAAGUUUUAUUGCAGCACAGCUAUACGCUUUCAUUUACACCCAGUCAGCUUGAAGAGUUUCAAAUGGACCCUACCACUGAGAAAUCAAGAUGGCAGUCUACUAUGGGGAAUUGAGGAAAAAUGGAUUAAUACAAGAGUCCUGUGAUAAUAUACAACCAAGACAGGGUUCUUUUAACAUGGAUUCCAUGCAGUGAAUGAAGACAUAGGUUUCUUACCCAACACAAAUGGACAGUGGAUUUGACUUUCUAAAGACUUUUUUUGUGGACAUUUUGACAUUUGGAGAAGAAAGAUGGCACACUAACCCAGAUAAUAGUUUUUAUGCCUGGAAUUUUUUGCAGUUUGAUUUGUAUGCGUAUGACCUCUUGAAAUGUUAAUUUUUAAUAAAAUUUGUAACACUUAAAAAUUUCUCAGUUUGGGUUUUUUUUUUUAAGUGGAAGUUUAAUUAAAUGUUUAGUUUUAUUUUAGUAAUACUUUGGCCUUUGUAGUUGCCGAGUGGUAAAGUGUACUGAAUAUGAAUAAAGCUGGUAAAUUGGAAAUGGUGUAAUCGAAAACAUUUUACUUGGUUUAUGAAGAUUUACGUUUUUCACAAAGUUGUGCUCUUAGAUGGUCAUUUGGUUUAAAUACUGUUUUGUUUGUGCUUUCAUGAAACACCUUUCAAAACAACUCAAUGGGUAAUAAUAGAAUCUGAUUUUAAUCUGCCACAAGAUUUUAAUGAACUUGAAACAAACUGCUUGUUGCUCGAAAAUUCAGGAUGAGUGAUACACAUAUACUUCUGAAUUAUUUUGUGUUGAUUGAAAUGGUUUCUUAAGCUUUUUAAUACUAUAAAUACAUCUUGCUAUAGAAUAUUCAUCUGAAUAUUUAAAUUAAUGUCUCCUAUUGUCUUACUAUUAGAGGAAGAAGUGUUGGAUUUAUGGGUUAGGGUCCUUGGAGUAUUCACAAUUUUUUAAAUUUGAAAUUAUGUGUGUAAUCCAUUUUAUAUAACUUUGAAGUAGGAUUAAUAUCUUGUAUCGUCUUUAUUUUGUACAAUUGGGGAUUUAGAAUAAAUGAAUUGCACCCUGCCAUAGAUUACUUACGUUUGAUUUUUAAAUGCCAGGUUUUCAUUUAUUACUAAUCAACUGAUACCAGUUUUGGUAACUAUUACAAAGGUGGUAGGCAUUAUUUUGGUAGACAAAAUGAGUUCUUGAUUCUGUUUUCCCAUUUUACAUGAGAAGAAUAAAUAGUUCAGGUUAAAUUGUUUUGUGUUAAUCAUACUGUUUGUGAUUCAUGUCAAAUACUGCAGCAUACACAUCCAUGGUUAAUACACGAGCACCAUUUGUUAUUGACUGAUGUGAGGUGGUUGGUCUUUGUUAAAUUCAAAAAUGGAAUUUUGGAUAUUGUUCUUGCUACGAAAUUUAUCUUUGUGUGUAGAGUAUGGAAUUGAAACAGUUUGGAUUAUGGAUUUUACCUAGAUUGGACAUUGUUGAUUUUGUUUGGUGUAAAUCUAAAGUGGAUUUCUUCAGUGAGGGAGAGACAUGGUUCUGGCAGAUUAUGUUGAAUAAGGAAAGUUGAUUGGAUUUUUUUGGGUGUGUGAAUAUGCUUGUCUGAAUGGAGUGCUUGGUAGGAUAUUGUUUCUGGAAUUAGUAAUUUGUUUCUGUGGAUCUCAUGGUUUUGAUAUUUAGGAGAAUUUGCUUUGUGACAUUACUUUGAUAAUUUGCAAUCACGUAUGUCCUAUUGUUAAUAACAUUGUUGAAAUGGGUGUAUACUUACUUGAUUUGAAAUAUAAGGGAAGUGUUGGGAUAUGUGUUUUCUGUUGGAUUUGGACGUGGAGUUUCUUGGGUUACUGAUUUAAAGGUGAUCGUGUUUGGACCAUACUCUUGAAUUUUUGCCUGAAUCAGUAUGGGAAGUAAAUAUAUUGUGAUUAUGAGAAGUUUCUUUGGGGGGAGGAGUGUAAUAUUUUCAAGGUUAUAUAAUGGGUUAAAGAAUUUUGUGAAAGAACAAAGAAAAAUGGAUAUUCUUGAAUAAAAAUUGGUUGCAUUAACUUUUGCUCCAGUGCAACUUGAACACUAGGGAGGCGCUCUUGAGUUGUAAAAGUUACCCCUUUCUUCCAGUGGAGAUGGAAAAUUCCCCCUUAAAUUUUGUCUUUAGAUUAUUUUUAGGCAUCAUAAAGAAGGAAAAACUUGAAUUUAUAUUAUGAAAUUAAGGUUUUACUUUUAUUUAGCAAUCAUUUCACCCAUUGGGGGAUUAAUUUUUAAAAAGAUUAGUACUUAGCUGAGCUUUAGAUUCUCUAAGAAUUAUCCCUUUUUCAAAAUGGCUUGAUAAAACACCACUUCCUGUCCAGGGAGGAAGUUAUUUUAGCUCAAGGACUGAAAUAUUUAGCAGAUCUUUAGACAAAAGGAACAAAUUACAUUUCUCUCUGGCUUAAAAAGGGUGCUUGAGCCAGAGGGGGUUAAGAAGCCCUCCCCCCUCCCCCUGUUGGGGUGGUCUGGAGGGGCAGGGAGGUGUGGGGGUGGGGGUCCUUAGGCUCCCUGGGAUGGAGGAUCUGUCUCUCUCUCUCUCUCUCCUUUUUUUUUUUUUGGUGGAGAUGAAGGGGUGGGUCUAUGGUACAUCACCUGAGUUGUGGGGUAAAUGUAGAGAGUGUCAAUCAAAGGCAGAGCUCUCAGAGCUGGGAAGGAGGCUCUAGAUGGCGGCUGUGCCUUAGAGAGAGCGCGCUCUGCUCCCUGCCUUUGCCUCACUUUACGCAACUUUCCCUAACUUUCGGGCAGCCUCAGGGGGCCCCCGUAGCCCCCUGCCUUUCCUAGGGACUUACUGGGGUCGAUUCGAACCUUUUUUUGGGAGAAAAGCAGCUUUUAGGAGCUUUCUUUUCGUGCCUUGUUGGAAAGAAGCAGCCGUACUGAGAGCCCAGGUCGUUGUUUUUUCCAGCUUAGAAGCCAUGGCGCACCUCCAUUUUUGUGCGCUCUCCUAAUGAGGUUUUUUUUCUUUCGGACCUGUUUUAGUAUUAAUUAUUGCUUUAUUUUUUUGACCAGUUAACAUAUUUGAGGGUUAUUUUAUUUAUUUUUCGUUUUUUAACGGAGGAUUUUGCCUUUAUUUUUAAUUAUUUGGGAUCUGAUAUUUUUCUACUAGUAGAUAGGACUCUUGGUUUGGACAUACUACAUGGAUCAGUAAAUACCUGGGCACAGGACUUCAAAGCAAACACAGAUUCCCCCUCCCCCUUAAUAUUUAAGAAUUAAAAGAUGAUGAGAAAUAAGGACAAAAGCCAAGAGGAGGACAGUUCGCUACACAGCAAUGCAUCGAGGUAUGAGCUAUCAACUUUCUUCCUUUUUGUCUUUUUUUUUGGGGGAGAAACCUCAGCUUACAAUUGUUUACCUUGACAGACAUGGAUUGCUGUCUGUUUUAUUGUGUUUUUCUAAUUUGGAUUCGUUUUUUAAAGCAUGACCUUGAGAUUGCUAAUAUGCCACACCCUAAUUUUUUGGUAGCAAUUUAUGAAAGUUGAGUUGUGACUUAAGGCCUCUUACAGCAGUCAAAAGGUAAGGUACCUUUAUUCAAAGGGGCCUUUACUGUAAUGUACAGUUUUUCUGUCAGUAAAUUUCAGUUUUUAGGUUUUUGUACUGCAGAAAAAUGACCUUGUCGGUUUAGCCAUUGCUGCAUUGCACCAUUUUACAUACAAGGCAAAUUUUUUCUUUGAAGAAUCCAGGAUAUCUAAACUUGUAACUGAGGGCCAUAGAGAAGCCUUGUAGUAGUAAAUUAUAGUAAAUAGACAUAUCAGAAAGUUAUAUGAAUGAAAAAAUGUACAUUUAAAAACAAAAUCACUUAAAGGACCCUUUGACUGAUGCCUCUCAGUUUAUAUUUUUAUGUGACUUUAUAUUUCUUUUGAUACACUUGACAUUUUAGGAAAUUUUGAUGUGAUUUAUCAAAACCUUUACUUGAUGGUUAGAGUUCCUGCAUUUAUGAAAUCAAAUCUGUAAUAACAGAAAUCCUGGAAUACUCUUAAUAUAUACUUCUAUUUUGUGUUUGUUACUGUGAUUAAUAUUUGCAGUUGUAUAUUUUACAUUUAAAUUAUUUUAAGGUUUGCAUUUGUAUGCUUAAGACAUUGAUUUCCUGUUGGUAGAUGUAUUUUAUCCUCACAAUUUAGAUGUAGCUGCUUUAAAUUUAUUGAUGUAUUUCGACAGAGUCGUCUGGAAUGCUUUAUCUUCUGAAGCUUAAAAAUGUACUGUUUGUGCAAAUCAUGAUCUGUUUCACAUUCCUUGGAGUACCUUGUUAGUGAUGAAGUAAUAAAGCCUCUAAGAUGUUUUUGUUGUAUGACCUCUG
This 5257-nucleotide long non-coding RNA is filed under the name Homo sapiens (human). RNAcentral's name for it is "HSALNT0383141". The record is from RNAcentral. Lineage: Eukaryota; Metazoa; Chordata; Mammalia; Primates; Hominidae.